Molecule: long non-coding RNA, 979 nt
Filed under: Homo sapiens (human)
Lineage: Eukaryota; Metazoa; Chordata; Mammalia; Primates; Hominidae
Description: HSALNT0134080
Source: RNAcentral
GGCAGAGAUGCAGGAGCUGCGAGUCCGGCUGGCGGAGGCCGAGGAGACCGCCCGGACGGCGGAGCGACAGAAGAGCCAGCUCCAGCGGCUGCUGCAGGAGCUCCGCAGGCGUCUGACCCCCCUGCAGCUGGAGAUCCAGCGGGUGGUGGAAAAGGCUGACAGCUGGGUGGAGAAGGAGGAGCCGGCACCUAGCAACUGACGGCCUCGCACGGAACUGCCAUCCUGUGAGGGCAGCGGUGGCGCCCGGCAAAGUUGGAGCCCUUGCGGUACCAGAAAGCAGCGAGAGCGAGACCUGGGAGCCAGGGCAGGGGUGGCUGACCCCAUGCUCAGCCUCUAGGGGACGGCAGGCCAUCAGGCUGGGGGCUGUGCUAUGUGGGAUGGAUGUGUGAGGAACCCCGGUUCCACUUAACAACUAAAUACAACAUCUUUUGCACCCCUAGAAUGUCAUUUUGCCCUCAACCUUGGUAUUUCUCCUGGGGCCCUUUUAGUCUUGUGCUGACUUUCUCCUGUCCUCUUCCAGUUUAGAAUAAGACAGGGGAGAAAAAGGCUUUUCGAGUGUGGGACAAGGUCUGAUGUCAGUGAACGGAACUGAAGAGCAAGACAUGGAGCCUGGCUGGGGCUAAGCAGCCCCCUCCUCCGGAUGGCACAGGCUCUGCUAGGUUCCGGACACAGGCUUCUGGGGGAAGGGUCUCCCUUGGCCAUCACGGGAAUGGAGUCCAUGCUAGAAAGAGCUCAGUGUUGGGCUGGGUUUGCCAGUAGAACACUGCGUUCCAGUCACCCCGGUCUUGCCAGAAGAAACCAGCACCUCUUUCCCGUGGCUCCUGUGUUCAGAAUGUGGUAUUGGCUCUGGCCCAGCCUUCUCCCCUGUUACCCAUAAUUCUUGCCUCUUUCCAUAAUCCGUGGUUUCAGUUUGACUUUGUAUAUAAAGUUGGGGUUUUUUUUUUUUUUUUUUGGCUUGUUUUUUAAAUAAACCAAAGUC